GAAGCAUUUAAUCCCUUCUCUCUUUGAGACGGGAGAGCGGAUAGCGAGGAGGAUGCGCAGCCUUGCUUCACGCUGUUUUUAAGUUGACCCCAGUUCUGGAACUUGAAAGCCCAUGAUUCCAAAACACUUUCAUUAAGGAUGAACAUUCUUCAGAACUUCUAUUUUUGUGAAACAUUGUAAGUUCUGUUUUGGGGUUUUGUUUCAUGUUCUUAUUUUCAUGUCUUUUAUUUUGUAGUCUGAUUGCUGUUUGUGUCAACCUUCCCUUGCCCUCUUGUAUUCCUGCUAUUGGUUCCUCUGUUCAAUGUGUUAUGUUCUGAUUGGUUGUCUUAGUCAUGUGUCUUGUUUCCCAUUGGUUUGUUCAGGUCAUGUGACCCUCAUUGUCUGUAUAAGUAGCCAUGUCUUUGCCAUUGUCUCUUGUCAUGUAUUGAUGUUUUAACCUGCUGUCGGUGAGUCUAGUUUGUUAAUGCCACGUCAAUGCCAAGUCUCUGUUUGGAUGUUUGGAUUCCACCCUGUAAAUAAACUGAACUUGGGUUCUCACUACGCUCGCCUUCAGUGGACUCAUUACAGAAUACACAACCUCUACAAUGAACCCAGCAGUUUCACGGCUCCUCUGUCUUUGUCAGGGUGACAGGCCUAUAGAGGAUUAUGUGAGUGAUUUUUGUGAACUGUGUUAUCUGGUGGCUUUUAAUGACGUCGCGCUUAAGGACAUUUUUCGAGUGGGUUUAAAUGAACCCAUUCGUUCUCCUUUGCCUGGGGGAAAGAUUUGUUGGUCACUGGAGGAAUAUAUUGACCAUGCUCUUUUGCUGGCUGGUUCACAGUUUACUAUGGGUGUCAUGGAGGAGGACCACAGCAUUUUACCUAAGUCUCAUCAGGUUAUGCCUACUACAAUGAAGCAAUUUCACAUUCCAAUCAACAUGUUUGGGAUUAUUCAUGUCACGUCAAAGUCUACAGAGCCUGCUCACACCAUGCCUGCCAAGCCACAGCCUACUCACUUCAUGUCUACUAUGCCAAAGCCUGCUAACAUCAUGCCUGCUUUGCCAAAGCCUGCUAACGUCAGGCCCGCUACUCUAGGACCUGCUCACAUGCCAGUUAAGUCUAAGUUUACUCAUGUACUGUCUACCAAGUUAAAGCCUGAUCUCUUUCUGACUGCCAAGCCAGAAUCUGCUAACCUCAUAUCUGCUACCCCAGGGCCUGCUCACGUCUGAUCCUAUUCCAGAGCCUCGUCACGACAU
Cyprinus carpio carpio is the source of this 1232-nucleotide long non-coding RNA. NCBI's taxonomy places the organism in Eukaryota, Metazoa, Chordata, Actinopteri, Cypriniformes, Cyprinidae. The record is from Ensembl.